This 423-nucleotide ribosomal RNA is filed under the name uncultured bacterium. RNAcentral's name for it is "partial 16S ribosomal RNA". It matches the Rfam family "Bacterial small subunit ribosomal RNA", at positions 359 to 774 of the family's 1533-position model. The record is from RNAcentral.
GUAUAUUGGACAAUGGGCGAAAGUCUGAUCAAGCCAUGCCGCGGGUGUGAAGAAGGUCCUCGUAGUGUAAAGCACUCUAAGUGGGGGGGAAGGGCAGGAAGCGAAUACCUUGCUGCUUUGACGUUACCGAAAGAAUAAGCACCGGCCACCCCCUUGCCAGCCGCCGCGGUAACACAGUGGGUGCAAGCGUUAAUCGGAAUUACUGGGCGUAAAGCGCGCGUAGGUGGUUCGUUAAGUUGGAUGUGAAAUCCCCGGGCUCAACCUGGGAGCUGCAUCAAAAACUGGCGAGCUAGAGUAGGGCAGAGGGUGGUGGAAUUUCCUGUGUAGCGGUGAAAUGCGUAGAUAUAGGAAGAAACACCAGUGGCGAAGGCGACCACCUGGGCUCAUACUGACACUGAGGUGCGAAAGCGUGGGGAGCAAACA